RNAcentral lists this ribosomal RNA (465 nucleotides) under uncultured bacterium. RNAcentral's name for it is "partial 16S ribosomal RNA". It matches the Rfam family "Bacterial small subunit ribosomal RNA", at positions 28 to 507 of the family's 1533-position model. The record is from RNAcentral.
GACGAACGCUGGCGGCGUGCUUAACACAUGCAAGUCGAACGGAAAGGCCCUGCUUGCAGGGUAUUCGAGAGGCGCACGGGGGUGUAACACGUGGGUGAACUGCCCUGUACCUUGGGUUAUGCCUGGGAAAAAGUGUCUAAAACCGGAGAGAAGCCAUCAUUAUAGUGAUGGUUGGAAGGUAUUUUCGGGGAAGGAUGAGUUCGCGGCCUAUCAGCUUGUUGGUGGGGUAAUGGCCUACCAAGGCGGGGACGGGUAGCCGGCCUGAGAGGGUGGACGGCCACAUUGGGGCUGAGGUGCGGCCCAGGCACCGACGGGAGGCAGCAGGGGGGAAUUUUGCACGAGGGACGCAAGCCUGGUGCAGCGACGCCGCGUGGGGGAUGACGGCCUUCUGGUUGUAAAACCCUUUCGCUAGGGGCGAAGCUUUUUGUGACGGUACCUAGAUAAGAAGCACCGGCUAACUACGUG